ACCUGGUUAAAUAAAGGUGAAAUAAAAAAAUAUAUAUAUAUAUGUUUUUAAAUUUAACUGUAGAUUGAAGAAUCUAUAUCAUGUCAAAUACAUAGUAAAACAUAUGGUCAUGAAAUAUAUUUACUGGUUACAGUGUCCUGCUUUCUAGGGCAGGGGAGCGAGUAGCAGCAGACAUGGGGUCGUUGUCCUGUUGGAAGGUGAACCUUCGCCCCAGUCUGAGGUCCUGAGUGCUCUGGAGCAGUUGGUGAGAGCCCUCGGCUCUGGGGCCCGUGUUUUCGAGUACCUGUCUUUGGAGCGCCCAUUUCCACGGACAGGGUGCAGCCGCAUCCCUGACAAAUCUCUGACAGGAUGGGUGUACUUCAUGAAAGUCACCUUCA
Molecule: non-coding RNA, 377 nt
Organism: Oncorhynchus mykiss (rainbow trout)
Lineage: Eukaryota; Metazoa; Chordata; Actinopteri; Salmoniformes; Salmonidae
Source: RefSeq, a predicted model, not a curated record